RNAcentral lists this ribosomal RNA (292 nucleotides) under Salmonella enterica subsp. enterica serovar Cerro. RNAcentral describes it as "partial 23S ribosomal RNA". It matches the Rfam family "Bacterial large subunit ribosomal RNA", at positions 1088 to 1378 of the family's 2925-position model. RNAcentral also lists the same sequence under 1 other name. The record is from RNAcentral. Lineage: Bacteria; Pseudomonadati; Pseudomonadota; Gammaproteobacteria; Enterobacterales; Enterobacteriaceae.
GACAGCCAGGAUGUUGGCUUAGAAGCAGCCAUCAUUUAAAGAAAGCGUAAUAGCUCACUGGUCGAGUCGGCCUGCGCGGAAGAUGUAACGGGGCUAAACCAUGCACCGAAGCUGCGGCAGCGACGCUGAUGCGUUGUUGGGUAGGGGAGCGUUCUGUAAGCCUGCGAAGGUGGCCUGUGAGGGUUGCUGGAGGUAUCAGAAGUGCGAAUGCUGACAUAAGUAACGAUAAAGCGGGUGAAAAGCCCGCUCGCCGGAAGACCAAGGGUUCCUGUCCAACGUUAAUCGGGGCAGG